This 254-nucleotide ribosomal RNA is filed under the name uncultured bacterium. RNAcentral's name for it is "partial 16S ribosomal RNA". It matches the Rfam family "Bacterial small subunit ribosomal RNA", at positions 524 to 776 of the family's 1533-position model. The record is from RNAcentral.
UACGUAGGGGGGCAAGCGUUGUUCGGAAUUACUGGGCGUAAAGCGCACGUAGGCGGCUUUGUAAGUUAGAGGUGAAAGCCCAGGGCUCAACCUCGGAACUGCCUUCGAUACUGCGGGUCUCGAGUCCGGGAGAGGUGAGUGGAAUUCCUAGUGUAGAGGUGAAAUUCGUAGAUAUUAGGAAGAACACCAGUGGCGAAGGCGGCUCACUGGCCCGGUACUGACGCUGAGGCGCGAAAGCGUGGGGAGCAAACAGG